Molecule: ribosomal RNA, 481 nt
Filed under: uncultured bacterium
Lineage: Bacteria
Description: bacterial SSU rRNA
Rfam family: Bacterial small subunit ribosomal RNA
Source: RNAcentral
GAUGAACGCUGGCAGUGUGCCUUAGACAUGCAAGUCGAACGGAGUCGCUUGGUGGAGCCCUUCGGGGUGAAGCCUUGUGGCUUAGUGGCGAACGGGUGAGUAACACGUGGGUGACCUGCCCUCGAGUGUGGCAUAACAGGGGGAAACUCCUGCUAAUUCCGCAUGGCCUCGCCUCCCUUGGGGGGUGAGUAAAGGAGGCUUUGCCUCCGCUCGGGGAUGGGCCCGCGGCCCAUCAGCUUGUUGGUGGGGUAAUGGCCUACCAAGGCGACGACGGGUAGCCGACCUGAGAGGGUGACCGGCCACAGGGGCACUGAGAUACGGGCCCCACUCCUACGGGAGGCAGCAGUUAGGAAUCUUCCACAAUGGGGGCAACCCUGAUGGAGCGACACUGCGUGAAGGAUGAAGGCCUUCGGGUCGUAAACUUCUAAAAGAGGGACGAAUGCUGACGGUACCUCUUGACUAGCACCGGCUAACUCCGUGC